UUGUACCUACGGGACGCAGCAGUGAGGAAUAUUGGUCAAUGGGCGAGAGCCUGAACCAGCCAAGUCGCGUGAGGGAGUACUGCCCUAUGGGUUGUAAACCUCUUUAGGCGGGGAGCAAUGCCGGGCACGUGUGCCCGGAGGGAGAGUACCCGCAGAAUAAGCAUCGGCUAACUCCGUGCCAGCAGCCGCGGUAAUACGGAGGAUGCGAGCGUUAUCCGGAUUUAUUGGGUUUAAAGGGUGCGUAGGCGGAUUUUUAAGUCAGCGGUAAAAUGUCCGGGCUCAACCCGGGCCGGCCGUUGAAACUG
This 305-nucleotide ribosomal RNA is filed under the name uncultured bacterium. Its description in RNAcentral is "bacterial SSU rRNA". It matches the Rfam family "Bacterial small subunit ribosomal RNA", at positions 334 to 635 of the family's 1533-position model. The record is from RNAcentral.